This 513-nucleotide ribosomal RNA is filed under the name bacterium 64-L049393-122-001-H08. RNAcentral describes it as "bacterial SSU rRNA". It matches the Rfam family "Bacterial small subunit ribosomal RNA", at positions 64 to 572 of the family's 1533-position model. The record is from RNAcentral.
GAGCGGAUGAAGGGAGCUUGCUCUCUGAUUCAGCGGCGGACGGGUGAGUAAUGCCUAGGAAUCUGCCUGGUAGUGGGGGACAACGUCUCGAAAGGGACGCUAAUACCGCAUACGUCCUACGGGAGAAAGCAGGGGACCUUCGGGCCUUGCGCUAUCAGAUGAGCCUAGGUCGGAUUAGCUAGUUGGUGAGGUAAUGGCUCACCAAGGCGACGAUCCGUAACUGGUCUGAGAGGAUGAUCAGUCACACUGGAACUGAGACACGGUCCAGACUCCUACGGGAGGCAGCAGUGGGGAAUAUUGGACAAUGGGCGAAAGCCUGAUCCAGCCAUGCCGCGUGUGUGAAGAAGGUCUUCGGAUUGUAAAGCACUUUAAGUUGGGAGGAAGGGCAUUAACCUAAUACGUUGAUGUUUUGACGUUACCGACAGAAUAAGCACCGGCUAACUCUGUGCCAGCAGCCGCGGUAAUACAGAGGGUGCAAGCGUUAAUCGGAAUUACUGGGCGUAAAGCGCGCGU